Pelobates cultripes (western spadefoot toad) is the source of this 85-nucleotide non-coding RNA. Lineage: Eukaryota; Metazoa; Chordata; Amphibia; Anura; Pelobatidae. The record is from the annotation of a GenBank genome assembly.
CGGCACUCCAGAUAUUUUGGAUUACACUUCCCCUGAUGCUUUUCCAGCAUUAUGGGGGAUGUAGUCCAUAACAUUUGGAGUGCUG